RNAcentral lists this ribosomal RNA (453 nucleotides) under Triticum aestivum (bread wheat). RNAcentral's name for it is "partial small subunit ribosomal RNA". Lineage: Eukaryota; Viridiplantae; Streptophyta; Magnoliopsida; Poales; Poaceae. The record is from RNAcentral.
AUGUCAUCUGUGAUCUGUCAAGAAGUAACGCGCCUCGCUGCUGGUUGCACAGCAAUGGGCUACGUAUAUAUCUAUGAUGAUGUACACAAGAAACACACACACACACACACACACACACACACACACAGAGAGAGAGAGAGAGAGAGAGAGAGAGCAGGGUUAGAUGCUAAUCUUGUUGAUCGACUCCAGGGAGAAGAUGGCGGCGGGGCGGGUGACCGGCACGGUGGGAUGCGACGACAUCGGGGGCAGGAGGCACACCAGGUACACCGCGACACCAGAUUCCGCCGCAGGAAGAUGUGGCCGGCCAAGAAGAUGGAAUCGAGCUGCCGUAUCGGGGAUCCCAGGUGCUGCUGCCCCGUCUGUAUCCUGUCGUGCAGCCAUGGCGAAGAGUAUGGUGGAUAUGAUUCUUGUCGAGUAAAUUUCACAGAACCAUCACAUUCGUGUCAUGAUUAG